This 3510-nucleotide long non-coding RNA is filed under the name Homo sapiens (human). Its description in RNAcentral is "FOXF1 adjacent non-coding developmental regulatory RNA". The record is from RNAcentral. Lineage: Eukaryota; Metazoa; Chordata; Mammalia; Primates; Hominidae.
CAGGCCAGGUUCCUGAGAGCAGACAGCGCGGGCUGGGAGCGCCGGCAAGGGCGGCCCUCGCGCACCUGGCUGCCAGCCCGCAGGGGGCUCGCACGCAGACCUGCCCUUGCCACCUCAGCGCUCGGGUGCGGGCUGGGGGCGGUGGAGCCACGAAAGGUGGUGCCGAGAGCGGAGCGCAGGACAGCGCAGGAGCCCCGGCGCAUCGCGGCGCGCACAGACCCAGGAUUUGUGAAGAGGUGACCCAAAUUUCAAGACAAUGUUGGAUGCAAACGGAUUUGCCAGCAACUGCAUCACUGUCAAAACCAGCUCUGCCCGUGUCUUCCGAAGAUACCAAGUGAAAUACAUGUAGAUGGGAUUUACAUCUGAAAAACCAAGGCAAGAGGCCAUGGGAAGGGACGGAGGUGGAACAGGACUGGACAGAAGCUGAUAAAUGGUUGUUGCUGAGUACUGGGCAGAUAGGGGUUGGUUAUCCUAUUGUCUUUACUUUCAUAUAUUUUAUUUUUUCUGUAAUAAAACAAAUUAAAAUCACCUGUCGUGACCUCACAGGGGCCAGUGUGGGUUGUGGCGUGAGGCAGGAAGCUCUGCAGAGUUCCUUGGUCAAAAGGAUUAAUUACAAAAGAACUCCAUGAACACCGAGAAGAAGAGAAGGGAAUCCUGGCAUUUAAAGCCACAAAGAAACUUGAUAUGGUCUUGUCUCCUUCUCUCAAUUGACAGUGAGAAACUGAAGACCAGAGAGGGUGAGUGGUUUACUCAGUUUGGCACAACUGACCCCAACCUAGCCCUCCAUGAGGACUGAGCGCAUGAGAGAUCCUGAGCCACAGCCGCCCAGCCCUGCUCCUCUCGAAUUUCUGACCUACAGGAACUGCAAGAAGUAAUGAAAGACUGCUGUUUAAAGCCACUGCAUUUUGGCAUGAUUUGUUAUGCAGUCGUAGAUAACCAGAAAACAUCGGAUUUACAUUUUAAGGUAAACUUUUUAUUGAAACAUCACAUACACACAGAGACGUCCACCAAUUGGCUCGAUGAGCUUUCUCAAAGGAAACACAUUCUCUGAGCAGUGUGCACAUCCAGACACAUCAUCUCCAUCCUCCAGAAGCCCCCUCCUGUUAUCGCCACUCACAGGUCACCCGUCUCCUGACUUGCAGCCACAGAGAUAGUCCUGCCUAAUUCUGAACGUGGUACAAACGGAAUCAUACAGAAUGGGCUUGGCUUCUUUCACUCUGGGCUGUGUUUAUGAGCAUCACCCAGAUUGCUGCAUGGAAGCCAUCGUUUGUUCAUUUUCACCACCAUAGAGUAUUCUACUGUUGAUGGGACAUAGGCUAUUUAUUCCUUCUACUGUUGAGGGACGCAUAGUUAUUUCCAGCUGGAGACUGGUAUAUGUCUCUUGGCUACCUUCUGCAUGCAUUUCUGUUGGAGGUUGUUUCAGGUAUCUCUUAACGUAUAACAGACCACCCUCAAAUUGAGUCCUUGAAACAAUUACCAUUUUCUUCUUUCUCAGGAUUUGGUGCAUGGGAUGGGCUCAGUUGGGCAGUUCUUCUGUUCCAUGUGAUGGUACUGGGGCUGCAGUCAUUCAGAGGCUCAACUGGGCUGAACGUGCAAGGUUUCUUGCUCACGUGGCCAUCAGUGGUGCUGGCUGCUGUUGGGAGCUCCACUGGACUUCUGUCCAGAGCUCCUCAGCUCACCUCUCUGUAUCCUUGCCCUGUGGCUCAGGCUUCUAACAAUACAGAGGCUGGAUUCCAAGAGGAGGGAAUUAGAAGCGUUCAGCCUUCUUAAGACCAGGAUUCAGAUGUCCCAGACUGUCACUGUAUUGACCGGAGCAUUUACAGGCCAGCCUAGUAAUUUUUCCAUCUUGGGCAGGAAUGGGUGGCAUAUGCUGGGGGUAGGGGUAGCAUUGUUGGGGAUCAUCUUUGGAGCUGUGUGCCAAGGAGUAAAUUGCUGGGCUGCUUUCUACCUGAGGAAGUCCACUAUGCUUGCUUGUGGAGAGUGGAUUGUGUGCUCAGAGUCCACAAGGAUUUAAGAAUCCGAGCCCUGCUGCCCUUGCCUCAGCCUGUGCAUUAGGGCCCGGUGGUGAGAGCACUGAGCCAUUGUGAAUCAAGGCCCCUCCCUCGACCUGCAUACUAACAGGCCAGAAGAGCUUGCUUGAUUUUGGUCCUAGGCUCCUGCCUGUGGGUUGGAUUCCAGGGGCACUCUCUCCUCCACAAACCAGACGGUGGCAGGUACAUCCCCUCAAUGGAAAUUGCCCACACUUCACCCUAAAGACAGAUCCUGCUGUUCAGCAACAAUGUGAGUGGCCCACACAUUUGUCCAGCAUGAAACCGUUUGCAGAUUCCUUUCCAGUACACAGUCCCGUCAGCCGGUCACUUCACGAUGACAGCUCCUCGAAGCACCUUUUGGUUUGCAGUUGUGUAGCUUAGAAGUAGGAGCCUGCACGGCUUCAGGAAUUCACAGAAGGAGCACACUUUGUGCUUGGAGAAGUUAAUUAUAGGAAUAUCCUGCAACCUGCUGCUCUGAGCCUGUGCACCUGGGGUGUUUCCCUGGAGGUCCUGUGUAUGAGGAUACUCAUCAGCAUGGGGUUUGGGAAGCCUAGCAGUGGAGACAACCUAGGUGGUCCUCUCCAGGGGAGUAGGUAAGAGCCCUACAGCAGUGAAAAGCAUUGAAGGAAAAGUGUGUUCAGCAGUGCUCUUAAUCUGAUCAGAGCAGCCUGAACACAUUCUAAACACAGGGCAUUUAGAACUAGGGUAGAGGCACUAGAGCACCAUAGAUACAAACUCAGAUUCUGAAGGUAAAUGCCCAGGUUCAAAUCCAAGCCCCCUCGCCAAGUGACCAUGACUCCCCCGAGUCACCUGACCUCUGUGUUUACAUCCUCAAAGUUAAGUAGUCAGGAAAGGGGGCUUGGGGCUUGCCACAUGGAUGGUUGCCACUCUCCUUUGCAAAGUGUAGUCCCCAAAAACAGGUGGAAGAGGGAAGGGUCCAAUUAGAAGGCCGAGUACCAGCUGCCAUGAAUAUGCCAGAGCUGCUGGCUAGUGAUAAAUAACUGAAACCCAGGGGGACAGCAGAGCUUGGGUGACCAUACAUUCUAGGAAAGAAAACAUGCCUGUUGUCCUGGCUUUUUAUCCAGCUUAGACAAAGAUGGGCAAAGAAAAUAAUUUAGAAAAUGGUAGAGAUGGGCACAGAGAAAGGGCACGGAGGGAGGCACAAACAGAAGGCCAAGUGAUGGUGGAGGCAGACAUUGGAGAAAUGCCUUUACAAGCCGGGGAAUGCCAAGGAUGCUGGCAACCCUGGGAGUGGGAAGAACCUGGAACACACCCUCCGUCAGAGUCUCCAGAAGGAACUGGCCCUUCAUCACCUUUCGGACUUCUGGCCUCCAGAACUGGGCAAGAAAAUGUUUCUGCUGUUGGAGGCCAUCCAGCUGGUGGUCAUUUGUUAUGGUUGCCACAGAAAACGAAUAUAGAUUUAGACAUCUAAUUUGCAUAUAUAGAUAUGCAUGUGUAUUUGUUAAAUAAAAGAUAAAGC